Molecule: long non-coding RNA, 933 nt
Filed under: Monodelphis domestica (gray short-tailed opossum)
Lineage: Eukaryota; Metazoa; Chordata; Mammalia; Didelphimorphia; Didelphidae
Description: lncRNA (ENSMODG00000049509.1)
Source: RNAcentral
CAGUAACAAAGUUAGGACAAGAACCUAAAUCUCCUUAAGCCUGGUUCUUUGUUCUUUCUAUUGUUCUACAGUGUAUGUCCAGAACUAAUCAAAUUCAAACUGGAACUCUCAGGAAAAGGAGUCCAAGGGCAAAGAUUUUCAAAGUUGGUGUUUAGGAAGAAAAGGAACCAGUGCUUAAAUGGUGCCUCUUAUCUAUGAUGAAGGACAUGUGUGGGGAGAGAAGAAGAGGUAGACUGAAGAAGCCAGUAAAUUGCCCCUGGAUUUGGAGAGGAAAGAAGAUGCACACUCCCAGUGCUGGCUGCCUCUUGCAGCAGAUAAAUGAGGCAGCAAUUUUAACUUUUUAUGAAGAGGUUUAUUAGGCUUCUGUGCUAUUCUGGCCUAAUGUUCCUUUGUUUGUGGCAGUUCAUUUUUUCCCUGAUGAAGUGCUAGAGAAAGUCGGAUGUGACCAUUAUGACUUGGAAUACCUCCUCCUUUUUCCCCAUGCUAACCCAGCUCAUGCCUAGGAUGAAAGGACUUUCCUUCUUCCUUCUUUUUUUCCCUUCUUUUUCUUAAUGGCAGCAUCUUAGCAGAGUCUUAUGAAGGGUCCGCCCCAUCCCUCCCCACUCCCACCUCCAACAUUUGAAAGAGGAAGAAUUUCUACAUUAGUGACCCAGAUGACCAGAUAGUCCUUGUGCCCAAAUAUUUUUGUCAAGAUGUAAAGCAAGCAGAGCAUUUGGCAUUUCUAAAAUACACAACAGAGAACCCAGGAUCCACGAAGGAGCAUCUUUCAAUCUUUCAUCCUGCUUUCCUAGGUGGUGCCACUGUUUGUCAUCACAAAUGAAACUCUGUCUGAAGGGAAUUAUGUAAAUUGAAAUAUCAUUUUAGUCAACAAAUGUUUAUGAUGCAUUUUUAAUAGCAUGUAACAAAUGUGUUUGUAUCCCCCUUUGUCUUUAU